This 2211-nucleotide ribosomal RNA is filed under the name Escherichia coli. RNAcentral's name for it is "partial 23S ribosomal RNA". It matches the Rfam family "Bacterial large subunit ribosomal RNA", at positions 1 to 2228 of the family's 2925-position model. The record is from RNAcentral. Lineage: Bacteria; Pseudomonadati; Pseudomonadota; Gammaproteobacteria; Enterobacterales; Enterobacteriaceae.
GGGUUGUGAGGUUAAGCGACUAAGCGUACACGGUGGAUGCCCUGGCAGUCAGAGGCGAUGAAGGACGUGCUAAUCUGCGAUAAGCGUCGGUAAGGUGAUAUGAACCGUUAUAACCGGCGAUUUCCGAAUGGGGAAACCCAGUGUGUUUCGACACACUAUCAUUAACUGAAUCCAUAGGUUAAUGAGGCGAACCGGGGGAACUGAAACAUCUAAGUACCCCGAGGAAAAGAAAUCAACCGAGAUUCCCCCAGUAGCGGCGAGCGAACGGGGAGCAGCCCAGAGCCUGAAUCAGUGUGUGUGUUAGUGGAAGCGUCUGGAAAGGCGCGCGAUACAGGGUGACAGCCCCGUACACAAAAAUGCACAUAUUGUGAGCUCGAUGAGUAGGGCGGGACACGUGGUAUCCUGUCUGAAUAUGGGGGGACCAUCCUCCAAGGCUAAAUACUCCUGACUGACCGAUAGUGAACCAGUACCGUGAGGGAAAGGCGAAAAGAACCCCGGCGAGGGGAGUGAAAAAGAACCUGAAACCGUGUACGUACAAGCAGUGGGAGCACGCUUAGGCGUGUGACUGCGUACCUUUUGUAUAAUGGGUCAGCGACUUAUAUUCUGUAGCAAGGUUAACCGAAUAGGGGAGCCGAAGGGAAACCGAGUCUUAACUGGGCGUUAAGUUGCAGGGUAUAGACCCGAAACCCGGUGAUCUAGCCAUGGGCAGGUUGAAGGUUGGGUAACACUAACUGGAGGACCGAACCGACUAAUGUUGAAAAAUUAGCGGAUGACUUGUGGCUGGGGGUGAAAGGCCAAUCAAACCGGGAGAUAGCUGGUUCUCCCCGAAAGCUAUUUAGGUAGCGCCUCGUGAAUUCAUCUCCGGGGGUAGAGCACUGUUUCGGCAAGGGGGUCAUCCCGACUUACCAACCCGAUGCAAACUGCGAAUACCGGAGAAUGUUAUCACGGGAGACACACGGCGGGUGCUAACGUCCGUCGUGAAGAGGGAAACAACCCAGACCGCCAGCUAAGGUCCCAAAGUCAUGGUUAAGUGGGAAACGAUGUGGGAAGGCCCAGACAGCCAGGAUGUUGGCUUAGAAGCAGCCAUCAUUUAAAGAAAGCGUAAUAGCUCACUGGUCGAGUCGGCCUGCGCGGAAGAUGUAACGGGGCUAAACCAUGCACCGAAGCUGCGGCAGCGACGCUUAUGCGUUGUUGGGUAGGGGAGCGUUCUGUAAGCCUGCGAAGGUGUGCUGUGAGGCAUGCUGGAGGUAUCAGAAGUGCGAAUGCUGACAUAAGUAACGAUAAAGCGGGUGAAAAGCCCGCUCGCCGGAAGACCAAGGGUUCCUGUCCAACGUUAAUCGGGGCAGGGUGAGUCGACCCCUAAGGCGAGGCCGAAAGGCGUAGUCGAUGGGAAACAGGUUAAUAUUCCUGUACUUGGUGUUACUGCGAAGGGGGGACGGAGAAGGCUAUGUUGGCCGGGCGACGGUUGUCCCGGUUUAAGCGUGUAGGCUGGUUUUCCAGGCAAAUCCGGAAAAUCAAGGCUGAGGCGUGAUGACGAGGCACUACGGUGCUGAAGCAACAAAUGCCCUGCUUCCAGGAAAAGCCUCUAAGCAUCAGGUAACAUCAAAUCGUACCCCAAACCGACACAGGUGGUCAGGUAGAGAAUACCAAGGCGCUUGAGAGAACUCGGGUGAAGGAACUAGGCAAAAUGGUGCCGUAACUUCGGGAGAAGGCACGCUGAUAUGUAGGUGAAGUCCCUCGCGGAUGGAGCUGAAAUCAGUCGAAGAUACCAGCUGGCUGCAACUGUUUAUUAAAAACACAGCACUGUGCAAACACGAAAGUGGACGUAUACGGUGUGACGCCUGCCCGGUGCCGGAAGGUUAAUUGAUGGGGUCAGCGCAAGCGAAGCUCUUGAUCGAAGCCCCGGUAAACGGCGGCCGUAACUAUAACGGUCCUAAGGUAGCGAAAUUCCUUGUCGGGUAAGUUCCGACCUGCACGAAUGGCGUAAUGAUGGCCAGGCUGUCUCCACCCGAGACUCAGUGAAAUUGAACUCGCUGUGAAGAUGCAGUGUACCCGCGGCAAGACGGAAAGACCCCGUGAACCUUUACUAUAGCUUGACACUGAACAUUGAGCCUUGAUGUGUAGGAUAGGUGGGAGGCUUUGAAGUGUGGACGCCAGUCUGCAUGGAGCCGGCCUUGAAAUACCACCCUUUAAUGUUUGAUGUUCUAACGU